This 1218-nucleotide long non-coding RNA is filed under the name Homo sapiens (human). Its description in RNAcentral is "HSALNT0151927". The record is from RNAcentral. Lineage: Eukaryota; Metazoa; Chordata; Mammalia; Primates; Hominidae.
GAGGCAUUCCUGGAGUCUCUCUGAAUCUGCUGUGAUUCUGGAGGCUGCCCGAUUCAUGAAUCUUUGUUUUUUUCUUGCUUAAUUAUACUUUGUUAAAUUUAAUUUGUCUGAAGUUUUCUUUUAACAGAUCUGGCUUCAAAAGUGGGAUUCGAAGUAAAACUUUGGCAACCCCCAGGAACACUAGGUGACCAGGCAAGGUACCUGUGGAGCCCAUUGUGCUCACUACUCUCUUGAUUGUAACUGGAGGACAUGGUAUACUUCCACCAGGUAAAGAAAGCUUUUCAAGAUCCACCAACUGAGGAUAAUCAAACCUUCCAUGAUCUGGAACCUGGAGACUGAGUCUUCUGGAAAUGACAUCACAGGAAGACUACUCUCAUUGGAAGGGACUAUACCAAGUCCUUCUCAUCACCUAUACCACAGUGAAGCUUCAGGGCCUUGAAUCUUGGGUCCAUGUCUCACAACUCAAAAGGGCUCCUUUCAAACUCCUGGAACUGUACACCUGUUGGAGACUUUCAGGCUUCCAUUGAAAGUUGAAUGGUCUCACCCCAACUGGGUCAGCAAGUACAUAAAGAAUCAUUCAGCUGGUACAAAAUGUGACUUGUGAAUUCCACAUUGACACCAAAGAAGACCUGUGAAGCACCAUACUAAAACUAAAGAAGACCUGUGAAUUCUACACUGAGACCAAAUAAGUCUUUAUGAUGGUGACAGAGAGUGGCAUCGAUGCCUAAAGUUUUGGCCAAUCUCUCUAAAUUGAGAGGGUGAUCAAAAGGGAGGAAUUGUUAAAGUGAACUAAAUAUGGCCUAAGAAGGACUCUGUACUUCUAUAUUUGAGUCCUUGUGGAUGAACCAUAAUCUAAUUGGAUUGGUAGACAAGAUUAAAAACCUAACUUAGGAGAAUGCAUCUGUAACAGUUGCUGAAUCUUGGCCAAUCCCAGCGGACAUACUUCAACCAAUUAUACACUGUUGAUUGUUCAGACUGUGUUCAAAUAAGGCAAACGCCAACCUGUAACCAAGUCAGCUGUUUCUGUACCUCACUUCUAAUUUCUGUAUGUCACUUUCCCUUUUUAUCUAUAAAUUUGCUCUAACCACGGGGCAUCCCUGGAAUCUCUCUGAAUCUGUUGUGAUUCUGGAGGCUUCCUGAUUCAUGAACCGUUUUUUUUUUCUUGCUCAAUUAAACUCUGUUAAAUUUAAUUUGCCUAAAGUUUUCUUUUAACAGAUC